CCUACGGGAGACAGCAGUGGGGAAUAUUGGGCAAUGGGCGAAAGCCUGACCCAGCAACGCCGCGUGAAGGAAGAAGGCUUUCGGGUUGUAAACUUCUUUUGACAGGGAGGAGCAGAAGACGGUACCUGUCGAAUAAGCCACGGCUAACUACGUGCCAGAAGCCGCGGUAAUACGUAGGUGGCAAGCGUUGUCCGGAUUUACUGGGUGGAAAGGGCGUGUAGCCGGGCUGAUAAGUCAGAUGUGAAAUCCGGGGUCUCAACCCCCGACCGGAAUUUGAAACUGUUGGUCUGGGGUAUCGGAGAGGCAGGCGGAAGUCCUGGUGUAGCGGUGAAAUGCGUAGAUAUUAGGGGGAAAACCAGUGGCGAGGGCGGCCUGCUGGACGACAACUGACGGUGAGGCGCGAAAGCGUGGGGAGCAAACAGGAUUAGAUACCCGGGUAGU
RNAcentral lists this ribosomal RNA (441 nucleotides) under uncultured bacterium. RNAcentral's name for it is "partial 16S ribosomal RNA". It matches the Rfam family "Bacterial small subunit ribosomal RNA", at positions 338 to 794 of the family's 1533-position model. The record is from RNAcentral.